RNAcentral lists this ribosomal RNA (325 nucleotides) under uncultured Flavobacterium sp. Its description in RNAcentral is "bacterial SSU rRNA". It matches the Rfam family "Bacterial small subunit ribosomal RNA", at positions 467 to 791 of the family's 1533-position model. Lineage: Bacteria; Pseudomonadati; Bacteroidota; Flavobacteriia; Flavobacteriales; Flavobacteriaceae. The record is from RNAcentral.
GGAUGACGGUACCGUAAGAAUAAGGACCGGCUAACUCCGUGCCAGCAGCCGCGGUAAUACGGAGGGUCCGAGCGUUAUCCGGAAUUAUUGGGUUUAAAGGGUCCGCAGGCGGGCUGAUAAGUCAGGGGUGAAAUGGUGCGGCUCAACCGUAGCACUGCCCUUGAUACUGUUAGUCUUGAGUAAUGGUGAAGUGGCCGGAAUAUGUAGUGUAGCGGUGAAAUGCAUAGAUAUUACAUAGAACACCGAUCGCGAAGGCAGGUCACUAACCAUAUACUGACGCUGAUGGACGAAAGCGUGGGGAGCGAACAGGAUUAGAUACCCUGGU